CGGGGGGCAGCAGUAGGGAAUCUUGGGCAAUGGGCGAAAGCCUGACCCAGCCAUGCCGCGUGAAUGAUGAAGGUCUUAGGAUUGUAAAAUUCUUUCACCGGGGACGAUAAUGACGGUACCCGGAGAAGAAGCCCCGGCUAACUUCGUGCCAGCAGCCGCGGUAAUACGAAGGGGGCUAGCGUUGCUCGGAAUUACUGGGCGUAAAGGGCGCGUAGGCGGAUCGUUAAGUUAGAGGUGAAAGCCCAGGGCUCAACCUUGGAACUGCCUUUGAUACUGGCGAUCUGGAGUACGGGAGAGGUGUGUGGAACUCCGAGUGUAGAGGUGAAAUUCGUAGAUAUUCGGAAGAACACCAGUGGCGAAGGCGACACACUGGCCCGUUACUGACGCUGAGGCGCGAAAGCGUGGGGAGCAAACAGGAUUAGAUACCCUGGU
This 432-nucleotide ribosomal RNA is filed under the name uncultured Phenylobacterium sp. RNAcentral's name for it is "bacterial SSU rRNA". It matches the Rfam family "Bacterial small subunit ribosomal RNA", at positions 342 to 791 of the family's 1533-position model. The record is from RNAcentral. Lineage: Bacteria; Pseudomonadati; Pseudomonadota; Alphaproteobacteria; Caulobacterales; Caulobacteraceae.